CUUCCUUUAUCUAUGACCCCAUAGGUUCAAUUCUGUCUGGUAGUAAGAUAUAUCAUGAUCUCUAUCAUGGGUAUCACUGAAACCCUUUUCAGUGGAUCGGAAUAGUUUCACUCUAACUCGACAAGGAUCAUUGAUCCAAAAUGAUCCUAUUGAGGUCACACAAUCUACCAGUGACAUCUAGCAAUAUGUAGUGAUAAUCCAGCAAAAUCGAAAUAGAACCUCUAAGUGCAGUUAAUGUAUGAUACAGUCCCU
RNAcentral lists this long non-coding RNA (252 nucleotides) under Elaeis guineensis (African oil palm). Its description in RNAcentral is "long non-coding RNA (EGUI_LNC051491)". Lineage: Eukaryota; Viridiplantae; Streptophyta; Magnoliopsida; Arecales; Arecaceae. The record is from RNAcentral.